This 253-nucleotide ribosomal RNA is filed under the name uncultured bacterium. Its description in RNAcentral is "partial 16S ribosomal RNA". It matches the Rfam family "Bacterial small subunit ribosomal RNA", at positions 524 to 776 of the family's 1533-position model. The record is from RNAcentral.
UACGUAGGGGGCAAGCGUUGUCCGGAUUUAUUGGGCGUAAAGAGCGUGUAGGCGGCCAUACAGGUCCGUUGUGAAAACUCGAGGCUCAACCUCGAGACGUCGAUGGAAACCGUAUGGCUAGAGUCCGGAAGAGGAGAGUGGAAUUCCUGGUGUAGCGGUGAAAUGCGCAGAUAUCAGGAAGAACACCCGUGGCGAAGGCGGCCUGCUGGGCAGUAGCUGACGCUGAUGCGCGACAGCGUGGGGAGCAAACAGG